GUGAGACUUCUAAAUUCACCAGAAGUUCCUUUGGCAGUUGUUUUAUUUUUGAGAGUAGUUGGAAGAAAGCAGUUUUAGAAACACAAAAGAUUAAGAAAGAAUAUACCACAGCAUUUGGUCUAGGGGAGCUCAAAGAAUGUAUCAAAAUGCCAUAUUUACCAGGACUGCAAAGUUGCCAAAAAAGUGUAAGUUCAACUCCACUAGAGGUUCCUAAAAGACUGCCACGUGCUGAUGCCGAGGUGUCUGCAGUCAGGCUAAAGAAGACUAAGGAGACAUGCAGUGUGGCACCACUUUGGGAGAAAUCAAAAGGUUCUGGCUUCAGUGAUCCUCUCACUGGAGCACCAUCUCAAUACUUAGAGAGACUUUCCAAAAUAGCCAUAUUGGA
Molecule: long non-coding RNA, 385 nt
Filed under: Pan troglodytes (chimpanzee)
Lineage: Eukaryota; Metazoa; Chordata; Mammalia; Primates; Hominidae
Description: long non-coding RNA NONPTRT017105
Source: RNAcentral